RNAcentral lists this ribosomal RNA (572 nucleotides) under Bathytoshia lata (cow stingray). RNAcentral describes it as "partial 16S ribosomal RNA". It matches the Rfam family "Bacterial large subunit ribosomal RNA", at positions 1851 to 2605 of the family's 2925-position model. Lineage: Eukaryota; Metazoa; Chordata; Chondrichthyes; Myliobatiformes; Dasyatidae. The record is from RNAcentral.
AGGUCCGCCUGCCCUGUGAUUUUUUUAACGGCCGCGGUAUCUUGACCGUGCGAAGGUAGCGUAAUCACUUGUCUUUUAAUUGAAGACCCGUAUGAAAGGCAUCACGAGAGUUUAUCUGUCUUUAUUCUCUAAUCAAUGAAAUUGAUCCUCCCGUGCAGAAGCGAGAAUAAGCGCAUAAGACGAGAAGACCCUAUGGAGCUUUAAACACUUAAGUUAUUUUUAAAUAUCGAAAAUUUUCCUACCUUUGGGUAUAAAACAUAGAAUAAUCUUCUAACUUAACUUGUUUUUGGUUGGGGCGACCAAGGGGAAAAACGAAACCCCCUUAUCGACUGGGUGAGAAAUCACUCAAAAUUAGAACUACAGUUCUAAUAAAUAGAAAAUCUAACGAAUAAUGACCCAGGAAAUUAUAUCCUGAUCAAUGAACCAAGUUACCCUAGGGAUAACAGCGCAAUCCUUUCUUAGAGCCCCCAUCGCCGAAAGGGUUUACGACCUCGAUGUUGGAUCAGGACAUCCUAAUGGUGUAGCCGCUAUUAAGGGUUCGUUUGUUCAACGAUUAAUAGUCCUACGUGAUC